UACGAAGGGGGCUAGCGUUGUUCGGAUUUACUGGGCGUAAAGCGCACGUAGGCGGAUCUUUAAGUCAGAGGUGAAAUCCCAAGGCUCAACCUUGGAACUGCCUUUGAUACUGGGGAUCUUGAGUCCGGGAGAGGUGAGUGGAACUGCGAGUGUAGAGGUGAAAUUCGUAGAUAUUCGCAAGAACACCAGUGGCGAAGGCGGCUCACUGGCCCCGGUACUGACGCUGAGGUGCGAAAGCGUGGGGAGCAAACAGG
Molecule: ribosomal RNA, 254 nt
Filed under: uncultured bacterium
Lineage: Bacteria
Description: partial 16S ribosomal RNA
Rfam family: Bacterial small subunit ribosomal RNA
Source: RNAcentral